UGAGUAAUACACCGGAACGUGUCUUCUAGUGGGGGAUAACUGCCCGAAAGGGCAGCUAAUACCGCAUGAGACCUGAGGGUGAAAGCGGGGGAUCGCAAGACCUCGCGCUGGAAGAGCGGCCGAUGUCCGAUUAGCUAGUUGGUGAGGUAAAGGCUCACCAAGGCGACGAUCGGUAGCUGGUCUGAGAGGACGACCAGCCACACUGGGACUGAGACACGGCCCAG
This 224-nucleotide ribosomal RNA is filed under the name uncultured bacterium. RNAcentral's name for it is "partial 16S ribosomal RNA". It matches the Rfam family "Bacterial small subunit ribosomal RNA", at positions 107 to 334 of the family's 1533-position model. The record is from RNAcentral.